AUAUAAAUAUGAAUACGUUGUGAUAUUGAAUUGUGCGGACGUGACGCUAGUUUCUAGAUUUAAAACAGCAAUUUGAAAUGUCACGUAAUUUGAACAACUAUUUUUAAUGUUAAGUAAAAGUUUAAGAACUGAAGAAAGAUGGAGAUAAGAGAUCUCCUUCAACAGCAGCGGUGCAGAACAUUUGGUUUCAGCGAGUCCUUCGCUCAAGUGCACCUAAGCGGUCGUGAACCUCCCAGACCGAAUAUUACAGAGCAAGUUUGUUUAACUUGCAGAGACAGGCUUAGAAAAAUAUAUUGCUUAGGAUACCUACUCGGAGAUUAAUUGAAUCCAUUCAAAAAGACCGACUCUUACAAUGGAUAAUCCCAGAAAUAUUCACAAUUGUUCGUACUCAUUUAUUCAAUUUCAUGUACGAUGUAGUUAUAUAAAAUAAGUUCUAAGUAUUAUGUACACGACUUUUUUUAAAUGAGCUGAAUAUGAUCAUUUUAGUUACUUCAGAAAGCUUCGUUAUUGCGUUUUAAAAACGUCGUGUGCGAGUACAUAUUGAAUAUACUUCGCCAGAAUGUGUUAUGUGACCCUACUCCCUCUUUGAUCGGUCGUAUCCGUGAUCAUCAGGCGGGCUACAUGCUCGUAUUAUCGGUCAAUUGCAAAAAAGCAUCAAACUUUUGUAAAAAAAAAUAUUAACGAAAUUAUUUUUUUUAGGAAACGACGAUGUGCACUGUUAAGUCGCACGGGUUUUACAUUUUUCAGCAACUUUUUAUUUUUUUAUCGUUAAAUAUUUUUUUCUUGUUUUGAUUAUUAAAAAAAAACCGCUUCUAUCAGAACGAUGUUCCUAAUGCCGCAUCUUUGCCAGUAUUAUAUGUACUACCGAAUGCCAGUAUAUAAUGAAUUAAAUUAUAGUAUGAACAAAAGAAACAUGUCUUUCAAAAAAACUAAUUGUAGUGUGAAUAUGUCGUAAAAUAUUAUUUUCUUGAAAGUAUUACAGAAAUUAUAAAUUGUUUAAUAGCGUUAAAACUUAAAGUACCUAGUUGGUUAAAAUUCUUUAAAUUUAAAGUUUUAAUACAAUAAUAUAAGGUUAUUAAAAAUCCAGUAUUGCACGGUUAUGUUUUCCUCUUAGUUUUAUGUUUAUUAUUGUCUUUAAUUUUCGUCGAAUAUAGCAUUAAUUGUAUUAUUUUCUAUAAAAAUAGUUCUUAAAUAAUUAUAAGAAUGACGCCAAUAUUUUUAUAAAGGACACAAUAUAACUUGGUUUAACUCUCACUUUCAAUAAAAAAAGUAAAAUUCCAUUGCAGUCUCACUUUCCAUUUUAUAAAAAAUGUACUCAAUGCUCAAUACACAGGUAGCCGAAAGGUGUUUUUAAAAAAUGCCGACUUUUUAACAAUUGCUACUGUCCUUUGUUUAUUUUUCAAAAGACUCUUUUACUUUGUUACUUUUGUUAGUAAUUUAUUUGUACGAAAACAAACUUUUAUACUAAGACGCCGACAUAUAUAUUGUUACAAAUUGUACAAAACAAAGGCUAUGAAUAUAAUGUUAUAAAAACGUUCACUAGUUUAUUGCACAACAACUUAGUUAUAACAAUUUAUGAUAGUUUAUUUUAUAAGUUAAUUAGUUGUACCUACUUAUAUGAAUGUUAAUUAUUUUUUUUUAAUGAACCUUACGACUACAUUCAUGUGAGUAAUUAUAUUAAUAGAAAUUAAGUAUUAUGUUUAGCACCAAUAAUUUUUAAAAACAUAGAUAAUGUUGCAAAUAAUUCCGCUUGCCUCUUUUGUUUGUACCACGCCGGGUAAUCGUUUAGACCGGAAUGUUUGGCUAUAAAGCCAGAGUUUUUAGUUACCGGCUAUCCAAGCAAGUUCGCCCCCGGGGUCAGAAUGAUGAGAGUUUAGAAAGACCUCUAACCCCUCUCUCUAGCAGGGUCUUUGCUACACAAAGCAUUACCUGUAGGUAAUAAUAUAAUGUAUUAUACUUAUGGAAAUAAAGACUAAUUUUUCAAUAAGCAAAGUUAUUCAUAGACAAAGUAAACAAAUUAAGAAUGUCAGUAAUUAUGAAUUAAAUAUAUUGUAUCACUUAUAUUUUCACUCAAGUUAAAAUUAAUUUGUAGGAUAACUUUUAUCAAAAUUAUGUCCUAAAGAAUACUAUAAUCCAUUAAUUUUAAAUUGGUUAACAAAUUUGGAAUUUUAUGAAACUAUUUUAAUAUAGCUACGUAUUUUGUUAUUCAAUGUUUCUUUAUAAUAAGGUAUAAUGUAAUAUUGACAUAUAAAAUUUAUUGUAAGUGAUGGCAGCAUUU
RNAcentral lists this long non-coding RNA (2278 nucleotides) under Manduca sexta (tobacco hornworm). RNAcentral describes it as "uncharacterized LOC119190002". Lineage: Eukaryota; Metazoa; Arthropoda; Insecta; Lepidoptera; Sphingidae. The record is from RNAcentral.